This 74-nucleotide transfer RNA is filed under the name Salvia splendens (bonfire salvia). RNAcentral describes it as "tRNA-Met". It matches the Rfam family "tRNA". Rfam says of the family: Transfer RNA (tRNA) molecules are approximately 80 nucleotides in length. Their secondary structure includes four short double-helical elements and three loops (D, anti-codon, and T loops). Further hydrogen bonds mediate the characteristic L-shaped molecular structure. tRNAs have two regions of fundamental functional importance: the anti-codon, which is responsible for specific mRNA codon recognition, and the 3' end, to which the tRNAs corresponding amino acid is attached (by aminoacyl-tRNA synthetases). tRNAs cope with the degeneracy of the genetic code in two manners: having more than one tRNA (with a specific anti-codon) for a particular amino acid; and 'wobble' base-pairing, i.e. permitting non-standard base-pairing at the 3rd anti-codon position. The record is from RNAcentral. Lineage: Eukaryota; Viridiplantae; Streptophyta; Magnoliopsida; Lamiales; Lamiaceae.
UGGGUGGUGGCGCAGUUGGCUAGCGCGUAGGUCUCAUAAUCCUGAGGUCGAGAGUUCGAGCCUCUCUCACCCCA